AGGGUUCGAUUCGUGGCUCAGGACGAACGCUGGCGGCGUGCUUUACACAUGCAAGUCGAACGGAGUGUAGCGAUACACUCAGUGGCGGACGGGUGAGUAACGCGUGAGCAACCUGCCUUGUACAACGGGAUAACACAGAGAAAUUUGUGCUAAUACGGUAUAAGACCACAGUGGGGCAUCCCACAGGGGGUAAAAGAAAAUCGGUACAAGAGGGGCUCGCGUCCCAUUAGCUAGUUGGCGGGGUAACGGCCCACCAAGGCGACGAUGGGUAGCCGAUCUGAGAGGAUGACCGGCCACACUGGAACUGAGACACGGUCCAGACUCCUACGGGAGGCAGCAGUGGGGAAUAUUGGGCAAUGGAGGAAACUUCUGACCCAGCAACGCCGCGUGAAUGAAGAAGGUCUUCGGAUUAGUAAAGUUCUUUAAUUGGUGAAGAAAAGAAAUGACGGUAGACCAAAGAAUAAGCCACGACUAACUACGUGCCAGCCGCUGC
This 493-nucleotide ribosomal RNA is filed under the name uncultured bacterium. RNAcentral's name for it is "bacterial SSU rRNA". It matches the Rfam family "Bacterial small subunit ribosomal RNA", at positions 8 to 518 of the family's 1533-position model. The record is from RNAcentral.